This 499-nucleotide non-coding RNA is filed under the name Pongo abelii (Sumatran orangutan). Lineage: Eukaryota; Metazoa; Chordata; Mammalia; Primates; Hominidae. The record is from RNAcentral.
UCUUGGCAGUGAGAGGAGAGAGAACAAAGCUAAAGGUGCUGAAGUAAGGUGGCAGCGCUUUAAAGAAGAAGAAAAAAAUAAAAAGGAAAAGGAAAGAUACCUACCAAGAAAAAGAGUGACCUGGUCUACAAAGAUGAAGAAGCUGUCAAUUAGGGUGGAAUAAACUUAUCAUGCAAGAAGUUGGCAUAGAUACUAGUCUCACCUUAAAGGUGCUUUAAAAAUAAAGUGGGAUCAGGCAAGGCAGAUAGGUGGCAUAGGAGUUAAGCUCAAGCAGAGAUAAUGAACAAAAAUACCAGAGGAAUUAGGAUUAAAAGCAAUAAAGUCUUGAAUAUUGGUAAGAAAAGAUGAAGAAGAGAGUGUACAAGGAGGAGUUCUCACUCCAAACAACAGUGGCAUGUGAAACCCAAGAGAUCAGACCUUGAAAGCUAUGUACUAAUAGGUUAUUUAGUUUUCAAAAUCUUAAAUUAAUAGCAAUUGGCAAUAAAGCUCAUUAAAAUUC